This 244-nucleotide ribosomal RNA is filed under the name Vibrio parahaemolyticus. RNAcentral describes it as "partial 16S ribosomal RNA". It matches the Rfam family "Bacterial small subunit ribosomal RNA", at positions 1 to 231 of the family's 1533-position model. The record is from RNAcentral. Lineage: Bacteria; Pseudomonadati; Pseudomonadota; Gammaproteobacteria; Vibrionales; Vibrionaceae.
AAAUUGAAGAGUUUGAUCAUGGCUCAGAUUGAACGCUGGCGGCAGGCCUAACACAUGCAAGUCGAGCGGAAACGAGUUAUCUGAACCUCCGGGGAACGAUAACGGCGUCGAGCGGCGGACGGGUGAGUAAUGCCUGGGAAAUUGCCCUGAUGUGGGGGAUAACCAUUGGAAACGAUGGCUAAUACCGCAUAAUAGCUUCGGCUCAAAGAGGGGGACCUUCGGGCCUCUCGCGUCAGGAUAUGCC